GAGUUUGAUCAUGGCUCAGGACGAACGCUGGCGGCGUGCCUAAUACAUGCAAGUCGAGCGAGUCCCUUCGGGGCUAGCGGCGGACGGGUGAGUAACACGUAGGCAACCUGCCUCUCAGAUCGGGAUAACAUAGGGGAAACUUAUGCGUAAUACCGGAUAGGUUUUCGGAUCGCAUGAUCCGAAAAGAAAGGCGGCUUCGGCUGUCACUGGGAGAUGGGCCUGCGGCGCAUUA
This 232-nucleotide ribosomal RNA is filed under the name uncultured microorganism. RNAcentral's name for it is "partial 16S ribosomal RNA". It matches the Rfam family "Bacterial small subunit ribosomal RNA", at positions 9 to 243 of the family's 1533-position model. The record is from RNAcentral.